This 526-nucleotide unclassified non-coding RNA is filed under the name Hevea brasiliensis (rubber tree). The record is from RNAcentral. Lineage: Eukaryota; Viridiplantae; Streptophyta; Magnoliopsida; Malpighiales; Euphorbiaceae.
UGUAAAUGCAGAUGGACCAUAGAAAAAAUAACACACACACACAAGUAGGGAAAGAAAUUGAUUAAAAAGAGAGAGAGAGAAAAAGAAGGGUGCACCCAAUCCUGUUAUCUGUGCAUUAGCCAUCGAGAGCCUAUACAAAAUAUAGAGUCACAAGUCUUUUGGUACGAGUCUUUAGGAUAUAAGAUAAAAAGAAAAAUUGAAAACCACAAGUUUUUAGGAGAUGAAAGGUUGAAAAUAAUAAAAUAAUUUUGGGGCCACAAAGCUAAGGACUAUAAAUAAUUAUUUCUCUAAUUUAUCCAUCCGGGCUCCCUGUCCAUGCAAGUUUGCUAAUAAAUCAGCCUACUGAUGAUAUGAUCCAUCAGAUUUAAUUUAAUUUAUCUUUUUAUACAAAUUAAGUUUUACUGUUUCAAGUCUCAUUCAUUUUUAUCUUUAAAAUUAUUAAAUUAAGAAUUUAAAUAUAAUAUAAAACAUAUACAAAACUUGCCUUUUAUGUCUUAAUUUAAACAGCUGAAAAGUAAAAGAAAGG